Molecule: ribosomal RNA, 393 nt
Filed under: Triticum aestivum (bread wheat)
Lineage: Eukaryota; Viridiplantae; Streptophyta; Magnoliopsida; Poales; Poaceae
Description: partial small subunit ribosomal RNA
Source: RNAcentral
AUGAUCACCAGGGGUCAACCAUCGCAAAUGCCGCCAGGACAUCCCGCUAGACGCCGGGGAGGAGGACUUCGGAAAGGCUCCCCGGGCUUCCUCUCGCUGGAGGCAAAGCGCAGGCAGCUGCCGGCCCUGUUUCACUCUCUGCUGCAUCGUGUUCUGGCUGGCGGUGGUCGUCAUCGUUGUGGCCGUGCUCACCGUGUACCUCAUCUACCGCCCGCAGCCGCCGAAGCUCCGGUGACGGAUGCGUCCCUGAACGACGGGUACGGGGACGAGUUGCCGUCCCCAGCGGCCCGGCCCGCGGCCUCGCGCUCAACGCCGACCUCACCCCGCUGGUCGCCAUCACACAGCCUGUAUCGAUCAACGAUUCGUUGGCUUAUCCUGGUUGCGAAAGUUUGA